Molecule: transfer RNA, 77 nt
Filed under: Thermochaetoides thermophila DSM 1495
Lineage: Eukaryota; Fungi; Ascomycota; Sordariomycetes; Sordariales; Chaetomiaceae
Description: Chaetomium thermophilum var. thermophilum DSM 1495 tRNA-Lys
Rfam family: tRNA
About the family: Transfer RNA (tRNA) molecules are approximately 80 nucleotides in length. Their secondary structure includes four short double-helical elements and three loops (D, anti-codon, and T loops).
Source: RNAcentral
GCCCGGCUAGCUCAAUCGGUAGAGCGUGAGACUCUUAAGUCAUCUCAAGGUUGUGGGUUCGACCCCCACGUCGGGCU